RNAcentral lists this ribosomal RNA (484 nucleotides) under uncultured bacterium. RNAcentral's name for it is "partial 16S ribosomal RNA". It matches the Rfam family "Bacterial small subunit ribosomal RNA", at positions 30 to 507 of the family's 1533-position model. The record is from RNAcentral.
AUUGAACGCUGGCGGCAGGCCUAACACAUGCAAGUCGAGCGGAUGAAGGGAGCUUGCUCCUGGAUUCAGCGGCGGACGGGUGAGUAAUGCCUAGGAAUCUGCCUGGUAGUGGGGGAUAACGUCCGGAAACGGGCGCUAAUACCGCAUACGUCCUGAGGGAGAAAGUGGGGGAUCUUCGGACCUCACGCUAUCAGAUGAGCCUAGGUCGGAUUAGCUAGUUGGUGGGGUAAAGGCCUACCAAGGCGACGAUCCGUAACUGGUCUGAGAGGAUGAUCAGUCAACAUUGAACUGAGACACGGUCCCAGCCCCUAAGGGAAGGAAGCAGUGGGAAUUAUGGAACAUGGGGCGAAGGCUGGUCCCAGCCAGGCGGGGGUGUGAAAAAAGGUCUUGGAUUGGUAAAGCACUUAAAGUGGGAAGAAAGGGAAGAAGGUAAAAACUUGCCGUUUUGAACGUUACAACAGAAUAAGGCCCGGCCUAACUCGUU